Molecule: transfer RNA, 79 nt
Filed under: Peniophora lycii
Lineage: Eukaryota; Fungi; Basidiomycota; Agaricomycetes; Russulales; Peniophoraceae
Description: tRNA-Ser
Source: RNAcentral
GGGGUAGUCGACAUUGGUAAGUCAAAGGUCUUGCUAAUUCCUGGAGAAAUCCUUGGAUGUUCGAAUCAUCCCUAUCCCG